This 387-nucleotide long non-coding RNA is filed under the name Panicum hallii. RNAcentral's name for it is "long non-coding RNA (PHAL_LNC000882)". Lineage: Eukaryota; Viridiplantae; Streptophyta; Magnoliopsida; Poales; Poaceae. The record is from RNAcentral.
GGGGGAUUUAGGUGCAAGAUAGGACGGGGAGGGGGGAUUUGGGUGCCUUCCUACUGUAGGAACUUGAGCAGGGACCUGCUGGAGUGAUUUUUUUUUCUCUCGGUCCCUACUAUUUGAGCAGGGGUUGUUUGAGCGGGGGUUGAGGUAGAGAUCUUGCUGGAGAUGCUAUUACAAGUAACGAACCAUGUUAAGACCCGUUACCGCUCAGCAGCAGUAACGGGCAGCAACCAAUGUCCGUUACCUUUUAACUCCAAAGGUAACGUACCUUAGGGCCUGUUUGGAUCCAAUGGAAAGAGAAACAGAAAGUGUAAAAAUUUUGCUCUUUUGCACUUUUUUUGCAUUUUUGGAUCCAAACAUCCCAAAGUGCAAAAGGGCAAAUGCUACCGU